Molecule: ribosomal RNA, 237 nt
Filed under: uncultured bacterium
Lineage: Bacteria
Description: partial 16S ribosomal RNA
Rfam family: Bacterial small subunit ribosomal RNA
Source: RNAcentral
UACCAUGAGUACAGUGGCGACCGGGUGAGUAACACGUGACUACCUACCCUUGAGUGGGGGAUAACCUCGGGAAACCGAGGCUAAUACCGCAUAAUAUCGAGAGAUCAAAGGAGAAAUCCGCUUUUGGAGGGGGUCGCGGCUGAUUAGCUAGUUGGUAGGGUAAUGGCCUACCAAGGCGAAGAUCGGUAUCCGGCCUGAGAGGGCGCACGGACACACUGGAACUGAAACACGGUCCAG